Molecule: long non-coding RNA, 317 nt
Organism: Drosophila ananassae
Lineage: Eukaryota; Metazoa; Arthropoda; Insecta; Diptera; Drosophilidae
Exons: 2
Source: RefSeq, a predicted model, not a curated record
AAUUUAGCGUGCAAGUCGCGCCGGGAGCUCUGGUUUAUUUUUAUUGCAAAAUUUUUUUUCUGCCGGUCUUAUCGAAAAUAAAUUAAGAAGUCUGGCAGCACAGCGUGGUAGCGCUACCAAAGGAAACCCAUUAAAAGAUUCUUUUUUCGAGAAUUCCCAGGACAGCCGCCUCCGCUUAGUAGGUGUAACUUCCAGCCGCCAUCCUGUGGAAGAUGGACAUCAUCGUGGCAUAGUGGACAACGCGCAGCUCCCGUUUUCAAUUCUACAAAAUUUUACAAAUGCUAAUAAUUAUUAUUAAAAUAUAUUUAAGAAAGAAA